ACGCGUGGAACCUUACCAUCCCUUGACAUGGCAUGUAAUCCGGAGAGAUCCGGGGUCCACUUCGGUGGCGUGCACACAGGUGCUGCAUGGCUGUCGUCAGCUCGUGUCGUGAGAUGUUGGGUUAAGUCCCGCAACGAGCGCAACCCACGUCCUUAGUUGCCAUCAUUCAGUUGGGCACUCUAGGGAGACUGCCGGUGAUAAGCCGCGAGGAAGGUGUGGAUGACGUCAAGUCCUCAUGGCCCUUACGGGA
This 250-nucleotide ribosomal RNA is filed under the name uncultured bacterium. RNAcentral's name for it is "partial 16S ribosomal RNA". It matches the Rfam family "Bacterial small subunit ribosomal RNA", at positions 959 to 1209 of the family's 1533-position model. The record is from RNAcentral.